GAGUUUGAUCCUGGCUCAGGAUGAACGCUGGCGGCGUGCUUAACACAUGCAAGUCGAACGAAGCACUUUAUUUGAUUUCCUUCGGGACUGAUUAUUUUGUGACUGAGUGGCGGACGGGUGAGUAACGCGUGGGUAACCUGCCUUGUACAGGGGGAUAACAGUCAGAAAUGACUGCUAAUACCGCAUAAGCGCACAGGACCGCAUGGUCCGGUGUGAAAAACUCCGGUGGUAUAAGAUGGACCCGCGUUGGAUCAGCUAGUUGGCAGGGUAACGGCCUACCAAGGCGACGAUCCAUAGCCGGCCUGAGAGGGUGAACGGCCACAUUGGGACUGAGACACGGCCCAGACUCCUACGGGAGGCAGCAGUGGGGAAUAUUGCACAAUGGGGGAAACCCUGAUGCAGCGACGCCGCGUGAAGGAAGAAGUAUCUCGGUAUGUAAACUUCUAUCAGCAGGGAAGAAAAUGACGGUACCUGACUAAGAAGCCCCGGCUAACUACGUGCCAGCCGCCGCGGUAAUUC
This 519-nucleotide ribosomal RNA is filed under the name uncultured bacterium. Its description in RNAcentral is "bacterial SSU rRNA". It matches the Rfam family "Bacterial small subunit ribosomal RNA", at positions 9 to 526 of the family's 1533-position model. The record is from RNAcentral.